This 348-nucleotide ribosomal RNA is filed under the name uncultured eukaryote. RNAcentral's name for it is "SSU rRNA". It matches the Rfam family "Eukaryotic small subunit ribosomal RNA", at positions 594 to 945 of the family's 1831-position model. The record is from RNAcentral.
AUAGCGUAUAUUAAAGUUGUUGCAGUUAAAAAGCUCGUAGUUGAACUUCAGACCUGGUUGGGCGGUCUGCUUAACGGCAUGUACUGUCUGACUGGGUCUUACCUCUUGGUGAGCCGGCGUACCCUUUAUUGGUUGUGCGUUGGGGAACCAGGACUUUUACCUUGAGAAAAUUAGAGUGUUCAAAGCAGGCCUAUGCCCGGAUACAUUAGCAUGGAAUAAUAAAAUAGGACGUGCGUUUCUAUUUUGUUGGUUUCUAGAGUCGCCGUAAUGAUUAAUAGGGAUAGUUGGGGGCAUUAGUAUUCCAUUGCUAGAGGUGAAAUUCUUGGAUUUAUGGAAGACUAACUUCUG